This 72-nucleotide transfer RNA is filed under the name Camelus bactrianus (Bactrian camel). It matches the Rfam family "tRNA". Rfam says of the family: Transfer RNA (tRNA) molecules are approximately 80 nucleotides in length. Their secondary structure includes four short double-helical elements and three loops (D, anti-codon, and T loops). Further hydrogen bonds mediate the characteristic L-shaped molecular structure. tRNAs have two regions of fundamental functional importance: the anti-codon, which is responsible for specific mRNA codon recognition, and the 3' end, to which the tRNAs corresponding amino acid is attached (by aminoacyl-tRNA synthetases). tRNAs cope with the degeneracy of the genetic code in two manners: having more than one tRNA (with a specific anti-codon) for a particular amino acid; and 'wobble' base-pairing, i.e. permitting non-standard base-pairing at the 3rd anti-codon position. RNAcentral also lists the same sequence under 1 other name. Lineage: Eukaryota; Metazoa; Chordata; Mammalia; Artiodactyla; Camelidae. The record is from Rfam by way of RNAcentral.
GAAGGUAUAGCUCAGUGGUAGAGCACAUGCUUAGCAAGCACAAGGUCCCGGGUUCAAUCCCCAAUGUGUCCA